This 255-nucleotide ribosomal RNA is filed under the name uncultured Pseudomonas sp. RNAcentral describes it as "partial 16S ribosomal RNA". It matches the Rfam family "Bacterial small subunit ribosomal RNA", at positions 96 to 355 of the family's 1533-position model. Lineage: Bacteria; Pseudomonadati; Pseudomonadota; Gammaproteobacteria; Pseudomonadales; Pseudomonadaceae. The record is from RNAcentral.
CGGCGGACGGGUGAGUAAUGCCUAGAAUCUGCCUGGUAGUGGGGGACAACGUUUCGAAAGGAACGCUAAUACCGCAUACGUCCUACGGGAGAAAGCAGGGGACCUUCGGGCCUUGCGCUAUCAGAUGAGCCUAGGUCGGAUUAGCUAGUUGGUGAGGUAAUGGCUCACCAAGGCGACGAUCCGUAACUGGUCUGAGAGGAUGAUCAGUCACACUGGAACUGAGACACGGUCCAGACUCCUACGGGAGGCAGCAGC